UUGAACAUAGGCAAUUCAAGAUAUCAUUAUCAAAACCAAUAGUACCUUGAGAGUUUAAUGUAUAUCUUGACCUUAGAGCUUUUUCAACAACAGUGAUUUUUGGUUCGCCCACUGGAGUUAAAGGCAAAUCAAUCUCAACAACUGGAUGUGGUUCUUCAUCAUUAUCUUGCAAUCCCUCCAACUCUCCAUCAUGUGGAACAUGCAAUUCAUUAGCAAUAUUAACAAUCACCUCUUCUUCGAAGUCUUCAUUAUUUGGAAUCAC
This 262-nucleotide long non-coding RNA is filed under the name Setaria viridis. RNAcentral describes it as "long non-coding RNA (SVIR_LNC010892)". The record is from RNAcentral. Lineage: Eukaryota; Viridiplantae; Streptophyta; Magnoliopsida; Poales; Poaceae.